GAUGAACGCUGGCGGCGUGCCUAAUACAUGCAAGUCGAGCGAACAGACGAUGAGCUUGCUCCUCUGACGUGAGCGGCGGACGGGUGAGUAACACGUGUAUAACGUACCUAUAAUACUGAUAUAACUUCGGGAAACCGGAGAUAAUACCGGAUAAUAUAUUGAAGCGCAUGGUUGGAUAGUGAAAGACGGUUGUGCGGUAUCGUAUAGAGGGAUCCGCGCCGCUUUGCCGGGUUGGGAAGGUAACGGCUUACCAAGGCGACGAUGCGUAGCCGACCUGAGGGGGUGUACGGCCACACUGGAGCUGAGCCACGGCCCAGACUCCUACGGACGGCAGCAGCAGGGAAUCUACCGCACUGGGCGAAAGCCUGACGAAGCAACGCCGCGUGGGUGAUGAAGGUCUUCGGAUCGUAAAACUCUGUUCUUGGGGAAGAACAAAUGUGUAAGUAACUAUGCACGUCUUGACGGAACCUAAUCAGAAAGCCACGGCUACCUACGU
This 496-nucleotide ribosomal RNA is filed under the name uncultured bacterium. RNAcentral describes it as "partial 16S ribosomal RNA". It matches the Rfam family "Bacterial small subunit ribosomal RNA", at positions 28 to 506 of the family's 1533-position model. The record is from RNAcentral.